This 528-nucleotide ribosomal RNA is filed under the name uncultured bacterium. RNAcentral describes it as "bacterial SSU rRNA". It matches the Rfam family "Bacterial small subunit ribosomal RNA", at positions 350 to 870 of the family's 1533-position model. The record is from RNAcentral.
AGCAGUGGGGAAUUUUGGACAAUGGGCGCAAGCCUGAUCCAGCCAUGCCGCGUGAGUGAAGAAGGCCUUCGGGUUGUAAAGCUCUUUCAGCUGGAAAAAAAUCGCUUCACCUAAUACGUGGAGUGGAUGAUGGUACCAGCAGAAGAAGCACCGGCUAACUACGUGCCAGCAGCCGCGGUAAUACGUAGGGUGCGAGCGUUAAUCGGAAUUACUGGGCGUAAAGCGUGCGCAGGCGGUUUUGUAAGACAGACGUGAAAUCCCCGGGCUUAACCUGGGAACUGCGUUUGUGACUGCAAGGCUAGAGUAUGGCAGAGGGGGGUAGAAUUCCACGUGUAGCAGUGAAAUGCGUAGAUAUGUGGAGGAAUACCGAUGGCGAAGGCAGCCCCCUGGGUCAAUACUGACGCUCAUGCACGAAAGCGUGGGGAGCAAACAGGAUUAGAUACCCUGGUAGUCCACGCCCUAAACGAUGUCAACUAGGUGUUGGGGGAGGAGACUUCCUUAGUACCGCAGCUAACGCGUGAAGUGACC